This 338-nucleotide ribosomal RNA is filed under the name Escherichia coli. Its description in RNAcentral is "partial 23S ribosomal RNA". It matches the Rfam family "Bacterial large subunit ribosomal RNA", at positions 2349 to 2686 of the family's 2925-position model. The record is from RNAcentral. Lineage: Bacteria; Pseudomonadati; Pseudomonadota; Gammaproteobacteria; Enterobacterales; Enterobacteriaceae.
GUGCAAUGGCAUAAGCCAGCUUGACUGCGAGCGUGACGGCGCGAGCAGGUGCGAAAGCAGGUCAUAGUGAUCCGGUGGUUCUGAAUGGAAGGGCCAUCGCUCAACGGAUAAAAGGUACUCCGGGGAUAACAGGCUGAUACCGCCCAAGAGUUCAUAUCGACGGCGGUGUUUGGCACCUCGAUGUCGGCUCAUCACAUCCUGGGGCUGAAGUAGGUCCCAAGGGUAUGGCUGUUCGCCAUUUAAAGUGGUACGCGAGCUGGGUUUAGAACGUCGUGAGACAGUUCGGUCCCUAUCUGCCGUGGGCGCUGGAGAACUGAGGGGGGCUGCUCCUAGUACGA